GACGAACGCUGGCGGCGUGCUUAACACAUGCCAGUCGAACGGAAAGGCCCUGCUUUUGUGGGGUGCUCGAGUGGCGAACGGGUGAGUAACACGUGAGUAACCUGCCCUUGACUUUGGGAUAACUUCAGGAAACUGGGGCUAAUACCGGAUAGGAGCUCCUGCUGCAUGGUGGGGGUUGGAAAGUUUCGGCGGUUGGGGAUGGACUCGCGGCUUAUCAGCUUGUUGGUGGGGUAGUGGCUUACCAAGGCUUUGACGGGUAGCCGGCCUGAGAGGGUGACCGGCCACAUUGGGACUGAGAUACGGCCCAGACUCCUACGGGAGGCAGCAGUGGGGAAUAUUGCACAAUGGGCGGAAGCCUGAUGCAGCAACGCCGCGUGCGGGAUGAUGGCCUUCGGGUUGUAAACCGCUUUCGCCUGUGACGAAGCGUGAGUGACGGUAAUGGGUAAAGAAGCACCGGCUAACUACGUG
RNAcentral lists this ribosomal RNA (468 nucleotides) under uncultured bacterium. Its description in RNAcentral is "partial 16S ribosomal RNA". It matches the Rfam family "Bacterial small subunit ribosomal RNA", at positions 28 to 507 of the family's 1533-position model. The record is from RNAcentral.